Molecule: ribosomal RNA, 1062 nt
Filed under: Conidiobolus nanodes
Lineage: Eukaryota; Fungi; Entomophthoromycota; Entomophthoromycetes; Entomophthorales; Conidiobolaceae
Description: SSU rRNA
Rfam family: Eukaryotic small subunit ribosomal RNA
Source: RNAcentral
UUUUAUAGUGAAACUGCGAAUGGCUCAUUAAAUCAGUUAUAAUUUAUUUGAUAAACCAAUUUACCAUAUGGAUAACCGUGGUAAUUCUAGAGCUAAUACAUGCUUAAGACCCUGACUUCUGGAAAGGGUGUAUUUAUUAGAUAAAAAACCAAUGUAGGCAACUACUUUUUUGGUGAUUCAUAAUAACUUUUCGAAUCAAAAAUAAUUUUUUGAUAUAUCAUUCAAAUUUCUGCCCUAUCAACUAUCGAUGGUAAGGUAGUGGCUUACCAUGGUUUUUACGGGUGACGGGGAAUUAGGGUUCGAUUCCGGAGAGGGAGCCUGAGAAACGGCUACCACAUCCAAGGAAGGCAGCAGGCGCGCAAAUUACCCAAUCCUAAUACAGGGAGGUAGUGACAAUAAAUAACGAUACAGGGCUUUUAUAAGUCAUGUAAUUGGAAUGAGUACAAAUUAAAACUCUUAACGAGGAACAAUUGGAGGGCAAGUCUGGUGCCAGCAGCCGCGGUAAUUCCAGCUCCAAUAGCGUAUAUUAAAGUUGUUGCAGUUAAAAAGCCCGUAGUCGAAUUUUUUAAGGUUUAAUUUUUAAUUUAAUUUUAAUUUUAUUUUAAUUUUAUUAAAAAUACCUUAAUUUCUUUUUUAACUUUUGGGUUAUAAUUUAAUUAAUUUAUUUUAAUUAGUUAUAAUCAUUUUUUAAGUAUUUAUAUUUAAAAGGGUUAAAAAUGAUUACUUUGAAAAAAUUAGAGUGUUCAAAGCAAGCAAUAAUGCAUGAAUAUAUUAGCAUGGAAUAAUGAAAUAGGACUUUGGAUCUAUUUUGUUGGUUUAUAGAACCAAAGUAAUGAUGAAUAGGGAUGGUUGGGGACAUUAGUAUUUAGUUGUCAGAGGUGAAAUUCUUGGAUUUAUUAAAGACUAACUUCUGCGAAAGCAUUUGUCAAGGACAUUCCCAUUGAUCAAGGACGAAAGUUGGGGGAUCGAAGAUGAUUAGAUACCGUCGUAGUCUCAACCAUAAACUAUGCCGACUAGGGAUUAGAUUAUGUAAAUAUAAUUUAGCACCUUAAGAGAAAUCAA